Molecule: ribosomal RNA, 509 nt
Filed under: uncultured Acidimicrobiales bacterium
Lineage: Bacteria; Bacillati; Actinomycetota; Acidimicrobiia; Acidimicrobiales
Description: bacterial SSU rRNA
Rfam family: Bacterial small subunit ribosomal RNA
Source: RNAcentral
GUCCGGAUUUAUUGGGCGUAAAGAGCUCGUAGGCGGUUCAACAAGUCGGUCGUGAAAGUUCAGGGCUCAACCCUGAAAUGUCGAUCGAUACUGUUGUGACUAGGAUACGGCAGAGGUGAGUGGAAUUCCGAGUGUAGCGGUGAAAUGCGUAGAUAUUCGGAGGAACACCAAUUGCGAAGGCAGCUCACUGGGCCGCUAUCGACGCUGAGGAGCGAAAGCUAGGGGAGCAAACAGGAUUAGAUACCCUGGUAGUCCUAGCUGUAAACGAUGGAUACUAGAUGUAGGAAUUGGUUUAACGAUUUCUGUAUCGUAGCUAACGCGUUAAGUAUCCCGCCUGGGGAGUACGGUCGCAAGACUAAAACUCAAAGGAAUUGACGGGACCCCGCACAAGCGGCGGAGCAUGCGGCUUAAUUCGAUGAUACCCGUAGAACCUUACCUGGACUUGACAUAUAGGGAAAAGUUAUAGAAAUAUAAUGUGCAUUAGCGCCCUAUACAGGUGGUGCAUGGCU